This 307-nucleotide ribosomal RNA is filed under the name uncultured bacterium. RNAcentral describes it as "partial 16S ribosomal RNA". It matches the Rfam family "Bacterial small subunit ribosomal RNA", at positions 506 to 809 of the family's 1533-position model. The record is from RNAcentral.
AGACAGCAGUCGCCGCGGGAAUACAGAGGGUGCGAGCGUUAAUCGGAUUUACUGGGCGUAAAGCGUGCGUAGGCGGCUUCUUAAGUCGGAUGUGAAAUCCCUGAGCUUAACUUAGGAAUUGCAUUCGAUACUGGGAAGCUAGAGUAUGGGAGAGGAUGGUAGAAUUCCAGGUGUAGCGGUGAAAUGCGUAGAGAUCUGGAGGAAUACCGAUGGCGAAGGCAGCCAUCUGGCCUAAUACUGACGCUGAGGUACGAAAGCAUGGGGAGCAAACAGGAUUAGAUACCCGUGGUCCCUGUCUCUUAUACAC